UGCGUAGGCGGCAUGUCAAGCCAGAGGUGAAAGGCAUUGGCUCAACCAAUGUAAGCCUUUGGAACUGACGCGCUUGAGUACAGGAGAGGUAAGUGGAAUUCCUAGUGUAGAGGUGAAAUUCGUAGAUAUUAGGAGGAACACCAGUGGCGAAGGCGACUUACUGGACUGUAACUGACGCUGAGGCACGAAAGCGUGGGAGGCAAACA
RNAcentral lists this ribosomal RNA (206 nucleotides) under uncultured bacterium. RNAcentral describes it as "partial 16S ribosomal RNA". It matches the Rfam family "Bacterial small subunit ribosomal RNA", at positions 568 to 774 of the family's 1533-position model. The record is from RNAcentral.